Molecule: ribosomal RNA, 433 nt
Filed under: uncultured bacterium
Lineage: Bacteria
Description: partial 16S ribosomal RNA
Rfam family: Bacterial small subunit ribosomal RNA
Source: RNAcentral
AACGAACGCUGGCGGCAUGCCUAACACAUGCAAGUCGAACGAGACCUUCGGGUCUAGUGGCGCAAGGGUGCGUAACGCGUGGGAACCUGCCCUUAGGUUCGGAAUAAAUCCCCGAAAGGGGUGCUAAUAACGGAUAAUGUCUUCGGACCAAAGAUUUAUCGUCUUUGGAUGGGCCCGCGUUGGAUUAGCUAGUUGGUAGGGUAAAAGCCUACCAAGGCGACGAUCCAUAGCUGGUCUGAGAGGAUGAUCAGCCACACUGGGACUGAGACACGGCCCAGACUCCUACGGGAGGCAGCAGUGGGGAAUAUUGGACAAUGGGCGAAAGCCUGAUCCAGCAAUGCCGCGUGAGUGAUGAAGGCCUUAGGGUUGUAAAGCUCUUUUACCCGGGAUGAUAAUGACAGUACCGGGAGAAUAAGCGCCGGCUAACUCCGUG